GCCUGCAGUCAUACCACCUUGAGUUGUGAUCCUGGCAGAUAUCAUAAACUCUACAAGGUUGGACAGGUUGAAUUUUAACAGGGAAGACCUUUCUGGAACACCCAGGGAUUACAGAAA
RNAcentral lists this ribosomal RNA (117 nucleotides) under Ictidomys tridecemlineatus (thirteen-lined ground squirrel). The record is from RNAcentral. Lineage: Eukaryota; Metazoa; Chordata; Mammalia; Rodentia; Sciuridae.